RNAcentral lists this long non-coding RNA (3539 nucleotides) under Sus scrofa (pig). RNAcentral describes it as "lncRNA (ENSSSCG00030020980.1)". Lineage: Eukaryota; Metazoa; Chordata; Mammalia; Artiodactyla; Suidae. The record is from RNAcentral.
UACCCUGGUCAUGUCUGAAACCAGUGCCAUCUCUGGACUUCCCUGUUAUGUAAGCUAGUAAAUUCCCUUUUGCUUAAGCUAGCUGUGGGUUGCAUUUCUGUCAUAAUGAAAUGACUAAACAACAUUGUCACUGCAACCCAGACAUCUUUUAAUUUUUGUAUACAUUCAUGAAAGAAAUGAGGUGCCCUUCUCAUAGGUAAAGAAACAGAAUUUUAAGUUACUUGCCUGAACCUACACAGCCAGGACUAAGUGCGAUAUUAAUUCAAGUCUGUCUCGCUUUACGGUCACCCUGAGGUCUGUCCCUCUCACACAAACUAGUGAUGGGCAGUUCACGACCUACUGGCAUCCAGCUCUCUAACAUGGUUUGGGCUGAGUACUAGGAGUUUCUUCCACUGAACCAAAUCAGGUUUCUUCCUGAUUUCUCCCCAGAACACCCAGAUAGAGGAUAUUGAUUUUCCCACAGGUCACUCAUCCUUUUGGAAUUUGGAGAUGGAGCCUCCCUGCUUAAGUUCCCCAGAUUAAAGUGCCCCAACUUCCUUAGCCAUUCAUCCAAGGUCCUGGUUUUCCCAUUUCCCUCUGUCAGUGUCAAGCUGGACACUGGGGCUUGGCAGAAUAUGAACAUGCUGGAAGGGCUCUUCAGAAUAAGUUUAAUACUCAUUUUACAUCUGGAAAAUGAAUAUUAAUAUUUCCCUAAAUGUUCCUAAAGGGGGAAGUAAUUUGGAUGGUUCAGCUGCCUCAGGAGAGAUGGCUUCUUACAGAUGCUUUUCAAGGAACUGAAAGUAAAAGUGUCUUCUGUAUUAGGCUUCAGACUGAUUAGCUGUGGAGUGAGCAAGCACUCUAGAUAAUGAAAGCUAACGGAAAAUGUAGCUAGGGCCCCUCCUCUGAAGCCUAAGAACAUUAUAUAAGGACAUCUACCUUGCUUCUAACACUCUGAUUUAGGAAAGAGCUUUUAAAGGCAUUUGUGCUCCCUCAUCUUGAAUAUCUGCUGUUGAGUUGACUGUAUCACCUGACUCUGUGCUCCUGUUCUUCACAAGGGGGCUGUGAUGAUGCUUCAAGUCCUUGGAUAUCAGUGUAAACCUAGACCCUGUGUCCAACAGUAAAGGAAAAAAAGUAAAAGUGGCAGUGAUGGGGGGUAGGGGGAUACUGCCUUUAGACUGAUGCUCAAGGAAGGCCUCUUCCUUUCCACUGUUUUUGAAAGGGUCUCAUCGGAGCUGCAGCUGCCAGCCUACACCACAGCCACAGCAACGCCAGAUCCGAGCCGGGUCUGCGACCUACACCACAGCUCACGGUAAUGCCGGAUCCUUAACCCACUGAGUGAAGCCAGGGAUUGAACCCGCAACCUCAUGGUUCCUAGUUGGAUUCAUUUCCGCUGUGCCACGACGGGAACUCCGACAAGUCAUAAAUUUUAAAUUGCAUGCUGUGCUAAGAAGCAUAAUGAAAUCUCCCACCCUCCAGGCCAGGGAUGUAAGUCAUCCCUUUUUUUCAAUUUAUCUGUACUGUAUAUGCUUCAGCCCUGCCUGCUAGUCACUCAGGAGUUGAUCUAUUUUCAGAUCAACUGUCACUGUACUUCAGUGCUUGUGUUCAAGUAACUCUCUUACUUAUGAACAGCCCCAAAGUGCAAGCAUAGUGAUGCUGGCAAUUCAGAUAUUCUCUGACCGUGCCUAAUUUGUAAUCAUAGAUAUGUACACAUAGAAAAAGCAUGGUAUACAUAGGGUUCGCUAUUAUCCCUGGAUUCAGGCCUCCACUGGGACUCUUGUAACAUAUACCCUGUAAAUAGGGAGGGACUACUGUAAAGGGAAAGAAGUUUUCUCUACUUUUGGAGAAAAACAAAUGUAUGUAAAUCAUUUAGCAAAGCUGGCACCUGGUGAGGGCUUGCUCGGUAAGCACUAGUAAACUAUUUCUUGUAGGCAAAAGGAAAAGAGGACCAGGAUAUAAACUCAAACCUCUACUUCACAACCUGGGCUCUUAACACAGCUCCUGGUUCCUUCACCCCACCCUCAGGCUCCGGGCUUCUGUGAUUCCACCUAUUAUCUGUCUGGGGCCACAAUCUUACCCCUCAGAGCGCACCUUCCUCCAGACACCUUUCCAAGCAGCUGGCAGAGGUAUAGAGGUGUUCAACCGGGAGGACCCCCUCAGCCCGAAGACUGAGACCAUGUGUGUACCUGGUGCUAAAAAGCCCCAACAUCACAAAGGCAAAACUACUCCAACUUCCAAAUCUAUCUCUCCCACUUCCAAAUCUGACUUCAUCAAUUCUUUUCCAUUGUAGGCCACCCAGGACGUUUAUUUUAACCAUAUGGAUGCACUGGGUUUCAGCCAGAUUCACCACUUCCUAAGGUUUAAGGGAAGCUUUGGGUGAAAGCAGAAAAGGAACAAGUCUCAGUCCCAUGAAACCUUCCAGGCAAGGGCUUUCCACGCUGCCAGCUUGGCUUUGUCUGCUCCUAGAAAGCUAGAAGGAGGAAUGCAGAUGAGGUUUCAGAUGCCUGUUCAAUCUCCCAACUUCGCUGUGUGACCUUGGGCUGAACUGCACCCUCUAAGCACCCUUCCAAAUAGAACUUUCUGUGACAACCCCCUCUCCUUCCUUGUAAACACUAACUUAAUGAAUCUCAAAGUUAAGGUCAGAGCUUCAAAAUAUAACAUGACAUAUAGAGAACUCUUUGGGGGGUAAGAAAUAAAGUUAUCUAUAUGCAGAUAGUAUGAUUGGAUAUAUAGGAAGUGCUUAAGGUUCUACAAAAAAAAGACAGCUGAAUAAGUGGAUUGAGCAAAGUUGCAGGAUACAAAACUCAACUCUGUUUCUACAGUGAAGUGUCCGAAAAAGAAAUUAAGAAAACAUUCUAGGAGUUCUCUUGUGGCACUGAGGGUUAAGGAUCUAUCAUUGUCACUGCAGCAGCUUGGAUCACUGCUGUGGCAUGGGUUUGAUCCUGGCCUGGGAACUUCCAUAUGGCAUGGGCAUGGCCAAAAAAAGAAAAAAAGAAAACAAUUCCUCUUACGAUAGCAUCAAAAAGAAUAAAAUUCCGAGCCAGGUCUGCAACCUACGCCACAGCUCAUGGCAACACUCAAAGACCUAAACAUAAGAGUUAACAAUAUAAAACACUUAAAACAUAGAAAAACUUGAUGACACUGGACUAGGGAAUGACUUGAAUGUGACACCAAAGGCACAGGAAACAACAAAAAAUGAUACGAAUUGCACUUCAUUAAAAUUUAAAACUUGUGUGUAUCAAAGGACACUGUCAACAAAACGGCAACCACAGAAUGGAAGAAGAUACUUGCAAAUUACAAACAUGUUAAGGGAUUGGUAUCUAGAAUAUAUACACAACUCCUAAAAUUCAACAACCAAAAACCCCAAAACCCUAGACUCAAAAAUGGGCAAAGGUCUAGAAUAGACAUUUUUCCAAAGGAGAUAAAUGCAAGUGGUAAACAAGCAUAUGAAAAGAUGCUCAACAUCACUAAUCAUUAGGGAAAUGCAAAUCAAAACCUCAAUAAGCUACCACUUCACACCUAUUAGGCUGGCUGUUUAAAAAACAAAAUUAAAAAAAAAAAAA